This 593-nucleotide ribosomal RNA is filed under the name uncultured Gammaproteobacteria bacterium. Its description in RNAcentral is "bacterial SSU rRNA". It matches the Rfam family "Bacterial small subunit ribosomal RNA", at positions 1 to 540 of the family's 1533-position model. Lineage: Bacteria; Pseudomonadati; Pseudomonadota; Gammaproteobacteria. The record is from RNAcentral.
GGGAGCUCUCCCAUAUGGUCGACCUGCAGGCGGCCGCGAAUUCACUAGUGAUUAGAGUUUGAUCAUGGCUCAGAUUGAACGCUGGCGGCAGGCCUAACACAUGCAAGUCGAGCGGAUGAGAAGAGCUUGCUCUUCGAUUCAGCGGCGGACGGGUGAGUAAUGCCUAGGAAUCUGCCUGGUAGUGGGGGACAACGUUUCGAAAGGAACGCUAAUACCGCAUACGUCCUACGGGAGAAAGCAGGGGACCUUCGGGCCUUGCGCUAUCAGAUGAGCCUAGGUCGGAUUAGCUAGUUGGUGAGGUAAUGGCUCACCAAGGCGACGAUCCGUAACUGGUCUGAGAGGAUGAUCAGUCACACUGGAACUGAGACACGGUCCAGACUCCUACGGGAGGCAGCAGUGGGGAAUAUUGGACAAUGGGCGAAAGCCUGAUCCAGCCAUGCCGCGUGUGUGAAGAAGGUCUUCGGAUUGUAAAGCACUUUAAGUUGGGAGGAAGGGCAGUAAGCGAAUACCUUGCUGUUUUGACGUUACCGACAGAAUAAGCACCGGCUAACUCUGUGCCAGCAGCCGCGGUAAUAAUCGAAUUCCCGCGGCCG